UCCAAUUUCAGAAACAAAGGCCAACGUUAAGAUUAUUAAUUAUACUAAUAAUCAUUAUGAUAGCAAGCAAUUCCAACUGGGUGCUACUUAAUAGAAGCGGAACAACGUUCAUGCUAGUUGAUAUUAUUUUCACACACCAAAUAUUGUUAUGAAGAGAGAGAGUAAUCAGCCUCCUUCAAUAUAAUUCGAGAAUGAAAGUUUACAAAGCAAAAAAGUAAAAUGCAAGAGUCAUCUUAUUUUGACAAACAACAAGUUCUACCAAAGUCAUCGCUGUUAUUUAUGCUUUAGCAAAAGAGUGAUUGUGAAACCUUAUUUUCAUUUCAUUAAUAAAAGCACAUAGAGAUAACUCAAUCACAAGUAAUGCAUUCAACAUAAAACAAAAAGACAAAAGGAGAAAGUAGAGAAACUAGAAAAAAAAAUAAAAAAAUCAUCCAACACAUUAUAAUUUACGGAAGGAAACUAGCAUAACCAACAUGCCAUAACAAAAGGUUUUACAACCUGUGUUUGGGAUCUAGUUAAAGGACAAUUAACCUGGAAAUCAGAUUUAAAAUAGUUAGCAGGUUGUGUUUUUUAGAUUUCCUACUUUUGUGACCUAUUUUGAUUAAUUGGAAUAGGAGCUUUUAAGAGAGAACUAUUCAAUCUACUGAGUAUAAGAACCCAAUUUAAAGAAACUAAUGCAUGCUUUUCUCGUUCCUAAUCAUACUUUUACAAAUCUGAGAACAAGCAAAACCAACAAAGUAAUUACCCAAUGCAUCAAAACUCAAAAGAGUAAUUGACUCCGCCUUUAAGCUACAUAUGACAAAUAUAAAAGAGAAAAGGAAAACUGUAAAGAAAACUAAUGACAACUGUUGUCCCUUAAUUCACUAUACCCUUCUUGCGUCUGUGAUAAAAACAUAAGUAAACCUGCCCAAAUGGAACCCCCUUAUCUGAAUUCUGUUUUCCCUGCUUGCACGUUUAGCUGCAAGUCCAUAACAAGAGGGUUCUAAAGCUAUUCACAAUGGUUUGAAACCCUCAAAGGUUAGAUAAAUUAUCUCUAAACAGCAAAUAUAACAGAAUAGCAGCUAAACCGCAUAGAAAUUACGAUCUUCACAUCAGUUUCUUCUAAAGAAACAACAAACUUG
Molecule: unclassified non-coding RNA, 1121 nt
Filed under: Hevea brasiliensis (rubber tree)
Lineage: Eukaryota; Viridiplantae; Streptophyta; Magnoliopsida; Malpighiales; Euphorbiaceae
Source: RNAcentral